UACGGAAGGCAGCAGUGGGGAAUAUUGCACAAUGGGCGCAAGCCUGAUGCAGCCAUGCCGCGUGUAUGAAAAAGGCCUUCGGGUUGUAAAGUACUUUCAGUCGUGAGGAAGGUGUUAAGGUUAAUAACCUUAGCAAUUGACGUUAGCGACAGAAGAAGCACCGGCUAACUCCGUGCCAGCAGCCGCGGUAAUACGGAGGGUGCGAGCGUUAAUCGGAAUUACUGGGCGUAAAGGGCACGCAGGCGGUUAAUUAAGUUGGAUGUGAAAUCCUCGGGCUUAACCUGGGAAUGGCAUUCAAGACUGGUUAGCUAGAGUCUUGUAGAGGGGGUAGAAUUCCAUGUGUAGCGGUGAAAUGCGUAGAGAUGUGGAGGAAUACCGGUGGCGAAGGCGGCCCCUGGACAAAGACUGACGCUCAUGUGCGAAAGCGUGGGGAGCAAAC
RNAcentral lists this ribosomal RNA (439 nucleotides) under uncultured bacterium. RNAcentral describes it as "bacterial SSU rRNA". It matches the Rfam family "Bacterial small subunit ribosomal RNA", at positions 340 to 773 of the family's 1533-position model. The record is from RNAcentral.